GACGAACGCGGCGGCGUGCUUAACACAUGCAAGUCGAACGAAGAGCGAUGGAAGCUUGCUUCUAUCAAUCUUAGUGGCGAACGGGUGAGUAACGCGUAAUCAACCUGCCCUUCAGAGGGGGACAACAGUUGGAAACGACUGCUAAUACCGCAUACGAUCUAACCUCGGCAUCGAGGAUAGAUGAAAGGUGGCCUCUACAUGUAAGCUAUCACUGAAGGAGGGGAUUGCGUCUGAUUAGCUAGUUGGAGGGGUAACGGCCCACCAAGGCGAUGAUCAGUAGCCGGUCUGAGAGGAUGAACGGCCACAUUGGGACUGAGACACGGCCCAGACUCCUACGGGAGGCAGCAGUGGGGAAUCUUCCGCAAUGGACGAAAGUCUGACGGGGCAACGCCGCGUGAGUGAUGACGGCCUUCGGGUUGUAAUGCUCUGUUAAUCGGGACGAAAGGCCUUUC
Molecule: ribosomal RNA, 452 nt
Filed under: Veillonella parvula
Lineage: Bacteria; Bacillati; Bacillota; Negativicutes; Veillonellales; Veillonellaceae
Description: bacterial SSU rRNA
Rfam family: Bacterial small subunit ribosomal RNA
Source: RNAcentral